AUGUGGGCACCUGAUAUCUAUGAGGGUUCACCCACCCCGGUGACAGCAUUCCUUUCUAUUGCGCCUAAAAUCUCUAUUUCUGCAAAUAUGUCACGUGUUUCUAUUGUUGCUUCCUAUGGGGGUACAUUACAACAAAUCUUCUUUUUCUGCAGCAUUGCUUCUAUGAUCUUAGGAGCACUGGCCGCCAUGGCCCAAACGAAAGUCAAAAGACCUCUAGCUCAUAGUUCGAUUGGACAUGUAGGUUAUAUUCGUACUGGUUUCUCAUGUGGAACCAUAGAAGGAAUUCAAUCACUACUAAUUGGUAUAUUUAUUUAUGCAUCAAUGACGAUAGAUGCAUUCGCCAUAGUUCCAGCAUUACGGCAAACCCGUGUCAAAUAUAUAGCGGAUUUGGGCGCUCUAGCCAAAACGAAUCCUAUUUCGGCUAUGACCUUCUCCAUUACAAUGUUCUCAUACGCAGGAAUACCCCCGUUAGCCGGCUUUUGUAGCAAAUUCUAUUUGUUCUUCGCCGCUUUGGGUUGUGGGGCUUACUUCCUAGCCCCAGUGGGAGUAGUGACUAGCAUUAUAGGUCGUUGGGCGGCCGGAAGGUUGCCAUAA
This 594-nucleotide ribosomal RNA is filed under the name Triticum aestivum (bread wheat). Its description in RNAcentral is "partial small subunit ribosomal RNA". The record is from RNAcentral. Lineage: Eukaryota; Viridiplantae; Streptophyta; Magnoliopsida; Poales; Poaceae.